AGUGAGCGCUGGCGGUAGGCCUAACACAUGCAAGUCGAACGGCAGCACAGGAGAGCUUGCUCUCCGGGUGGCGAGUGGCGGACGGGUGAGGAAUACAUCGGAAUCUACUUUUUCGUGGGGGAUAACGUAGGGAAACUUACGCUAAUACCGCAUACGACCUACGGGUGAAAGCAGGGGACCUUCGGGCCUUGCGCGAUUGAAUGAGCCGAUGUCGGAUUAGCUAGUUGGCGGGGUAAAGGCCCACCAAGGCGACGAUCCGUAGCUGGUCUGAGGGGAGGAUCAGCCACACUGGAACUGAGACACGGUCCAGACUCCUACGGGAGGCAGCAGUGGGGAAUAUUGGACAAUGGGAGCAAGCCUGAUCCAGCCAUACCGCGUGGGUGAAGAAGGCCUUCGGGUUGUAAAGCCCUUUUGUUGGGAAAGAAAUCCAGCUGGCUAAUACCCGGUUGGGAUGACGGUACCCAAAGGAUAAGCACCGGCUAACUUCGUGCCAGCAGCCGCCGUAA
Molecule: ribosomal RNA, 506 nt
Filed under: uncultured bacterium
Lineage: Bacteria
Description: partial 16S ribosomal RNA
Rfam family: Bacterial small subunit ribosomal RNA
Source: RNAcentral